AGCCAGGUUGGCAUGGAUGAAGAAACAAGUAGAUUGAAGGGAGCAUCACCUAAAGCUCUUAUAAAGUUGUUACUAAACCUUGAUGGUCAAGGCAUAAGGCUAUUUGAUGAUACAAUCUCCAAAUUUCAUGCCAAAUUAGCUCUUGAUGAUUCCAAAUCUGACUAUGAGCAAUCAACAUCUAAGCCAGAGGGAAAGAAAGCAGAUGCUGAUGUUCUGUUUUGCAUUGAUAACAAAGGAGAAGAGGAAGACCAUCAUGAGGAUGAUAAGGAGAUAAAUGAGUCCAUGAGUGCUGCAUUUGUAGCUUCUGCACAGAAAAUGAGAUUGACAGAAAAUGGAGGAAGAAAAAGGAAAGAGGAGAGAAAUUCCAGAAAAAAGAAAAAGAUUAAACUUCUUAAGCAUAACCACUCUGAUACUUCUGAUUCAGAUGAAGAGAGGUCCUCAUCUGUCAAUGAUGAUGGUUCAGAUUCAGAUAGUGAGAGCGAAGUCGAGAAUCCAAUCUCUGAUGAAGACGUUUGAGUGAAGGGGCAGUGGGUUUCCUUGAAGAGAAAAUAUGGCAAUUAUGUUAUAGUUACUUCAAAGUCUAUGUUCAAAUGUGCAAUAGCAUUUGCUGAUAUACUUGUCCUCGCAAAGGAUUUGAAGUUGCAUUGUAGCCGUUCAUGAAUAGACAAUGUUGGAGUAUGCAUGAAUGCACCUUUUCUUUACAAAAUAGUUCACUUUCUUUUCCAGAAAGCAAUAGCUGUUAUUUUUCCCGUAGUUGCCCC
Molecule: unclassified non-coding RNA, 761 nt
Filed under: Hevea brasiliensis (rubber tree)
Lineage: Eukaryota; Viridiplantae; Streptophyta; Magnoliopsida; Malpighiales; Euphorbiaceae
Source: RNAcentral